Long non-coding RNA from Amphimedon queenslandica, 261 nucleotides. RefSeq lists it as uncharacterized. The transcript is spliced from 2 exons. The record is from RefSeq and is a predicted model, not a curated record. Lineage: Eukaryota; Metazoa; Porifera; Demospongiae; Haplosclerida; Niphatidae.
UGCACCUCAAGAAGAAAGGCAGGCCCCUAGUGUCCUUGUUUCUUUCUCCGCUCUCUCCCCCCUCUCUUCUCUCUUAAACUCUCUGUCUCCUUCUCCUGCGAUGGCCGAUGGAGAAUUUGUCGUAACGGCCGUGGAGGAGCAAUACUACAAAGUCGAAGACACUCGCGGCUGGCACCCACUUUUCCAAAGGCUACAGCAGAUAGCAAAGGCACAGGCAGGGCCUCAAACCGAGGCGAGAAGACCCACCAACAUACCUCGUAA